AGCACUUCCGCGUGUUUGUUCAGCUGGUCGAGAAAGGCAUGGAAGAUGGGUGCAGAAGCAAACUCUCCUUUGCAGCCAGAACUCAUUGUUCAGCACGAGUUGUGAUGCAGACAAGAAGGUUUAUG
Peromyscus maniculatus bairdii (prairie deer mouse) is the source of this 125-nucleotide small nucleolar RNA. Lineage: Eukaryota; Metazoa; Chordata; Mammalia; Rodentia; Cricetidae. The record is from Ensembl.